AAGGACAGCUGGGGGAGUUAUUUGUUUGUUUGUUUUGAUUUCAGAAAGAUGUGAACUCCAGGAUCUCUUGAGAGACUGCCAGAGCCAGCAGCCCCAAGGAUACUUCAAACAGUGGGCAUAGGUGCAAUUCUAUAAAAAGAAACCAGAAACCAUUUAGAUGUCCAGAUGCUUGAGGAAAGAUGCAAGACAGCAAGGUGGGAAUCUGAGAAACAAGGAGUUUAAGGAAUUUGCCAUAAGUCACCCAG
This 245-nucleotide long non-coding RNA is filed under the name Pongo abelii (Sumatran orangutan). Its description in RNAcentral is "lincRNA". Lineage: Eukaryota; Metazoa; Chordata; Mammalia; Primates; Hominidae. The record is from RNAcentral.